This is a long non-coding RNA of Solanum dulcamara, 506 nucleotides long. RefSeq lists it as uncharacterized. The transcript has 3 exons. Lineage: Eukaryota; Viridiplantae; Streptophyta; Magnoliopsida; Solanales; Solanaceae. The record is from RefSeq and is a predicted model, not a curated record.
GAAGGAGAAAAACAAAAGGAAGAAGAGAAAACAAAGAAAGGAAAAUCGGCCAAGAAGACCAAAAAUUCACCCCUUCAAAUUUCAUCCCAAAAAUUAUAAUUUUCUAGUAUUCCUACUAAGUCAAGGGUGCUCUACAACAUGGUGUAGUUGUUUUGGAAGUUUGGAGAUUUUUUUUCAUUGAUUUGGAAGUGAAGAAGUUAGAAGAAAAAGAUUUUGGAGGAAACGGGAAUUGAAUUUGGACAACCGUAAAACGUCAAAAAGUUUCUCACUACUCCACUCGUGGAUGCCUCAAUACUUCUUUCACUGAGCCUGGGCCAGGAUAUGUUUUCGUGCGUAUUUCUCUGCAUUGUUCGCCAUGUCCCGACGUGAGGGGACAGGUAUGACAUGUACCAUGGGGUGGUAAAUAUUAUGCCACGGAGUUAUGCUGUGCCAUGUACAUAUAUGUUUGUGAUAUGAUAUGAUAUGAUAUGAUUUGAUAUGGCCAUCUGAUAUGAUAUGAUUUGUUA